CGGCGGACGGGUGAGUAACGCGUGGGUAACCUGCCUCAUACAGGGGGAUAACAGUUAGAAAUGACUGCUAAUACCGCAUAAGACCACAGCACCGCAUGGUGCGGGGGUAAAAACUCCGGUGGUAUGAGAUGGACCCGCGUCUGAUUAGCUAGUUGGUAAGGUAACGGCUUACCAAGGCGACGAUCAGUAGCCGACCUGAGAGGGUGACCGGCCACAUUGGGACUGAGACACGGCCCAA
Molecule: ribosomal RNA, 238 nt
Filed under: uncultured bacterium
Lineage: Bacteria
Description: partial 16S ribosomal RNA
Rfam family: Bacterial small subunit ribosomal RNA
Source: RNAcentral